RNAcentral lists this non-coding RNA (1099 nucleotides) under Pisolithus tinctorius Marx 270. RNAcentral describes it as "Eukaryotic small subunit ribosomal RNA". It matches the Rfam family "Eukaryotic small subunit ribosomal RNA", at positions 4 to 1116 of the family's 1831-position model. Lineage: Eukaryota; Fungi; Basidiomycota; Agaricomycetes; Boletales; Pisolithaceae. The record is from Rfam by way of RNAcentral.
CUGGUUGAUCCUGCCAUUAGUCAUAUGCUUGUCUCAAAGCUUAGCAUGCAUGUCUAAGUAUAAACAAGUUUGUACUGUGAAACUGGGAAUGGCUCAUUAAAUCAGUUAUAGUUUAUUUGAUGAUGACUUGCUACAUGGAUAACUGUGGUAAUUCUAGAGCUAAUACAUGCAACUAAAGCCCCGACUUCCGGGAGGGGUGUAUUUAUUAGAUAAAAAACCAACAAAGUUCACCACUCUCUUGGUGAUUCAUAAUAACUGCUUGGAAUCACAUGGCUUCAUGAUUCAAAUAUCAAUAUCUGCCCUGUCAACUUUCAAUGGUAGGAUAAGGCCUACCAUGGUUUCAAUGGGUAAUGGGGAAUAAGGGUUCAAUCUGGAGAGGGAGCCUGAGAAAUGGCUACCACAUCCAAGGAAGGCAGCAGGCGCGCAAAUUACCCAAUCCCGACUCGGGGAGGUAGUGACAAUAAAUAACAAUAUAGGGCUCUUUUGGGUCUUAUAAUUGGAAUGAGUACAAUUUAAAUCUCUUAACGAGGAACGAUUGGAGGGCAAGUCUGGUGCCAGCAGCUGCAGUAAUUCCAGCUCCAAUAGCGUAUAUUAAAGUUGUUGCAGUCAAAAAGCUCAUAGUUGAACCUUGGGCCUGGGCAGGCAGUCCACCAAAAGGCAUCAUACUGUCUGGCUGGUCCUUUCUUCUUGGUGAAUCAGUGUGCCCUUCCCUGGGUGCAUCAGGGAACCAGGACAUUUACCUUGAGAAAAUUAGAGUGUUCAAAGUGGCAUCACACCUGAAUACAUUAGCAUGGAAUAAUGAAAUAGGAUGUGUGGUUCUAUUUCAUUGGUUUCUAGGAUCACCAUAAUGAUUAAUAGGGACAGUUGGGGGCAUUAGUAUUUGGUCACUAGAGGUGAAAUUCUUGGAUUGACCAAAGACUGACUACCACAAAAGCAUUUGCCAAGGAUGUUUUCAUUAAUCAAGAAUGAAGGUUAGGGGAUUGAAAACAAUCAGAUACCAUUGUAGUCUUAACAGUAAAUGAUGCCAACUAGGCAUUGGGCAGCCUCUUUUUGAUGUGUCACUCAGCACCUUAUGAGAAAUCAAAGACUUUGGGUUCUG